GGGGAAGUAUUGCACAAUGGAGGGAAACUACUGAUGCAGCGACGCCGCGUGAGUGAAGAAGUAAUUCGUUAUGUAAAGCUCUAUCAGCAGGGAAGAUAGUGACGGUACCUGACUAAGAAGCUCCGGCUAAAUACGUGCCAGCAGCCGCGGUAAUACGUAGGGAGCAAGCGUUAUCCGGAAUUACUGGGUGUAAAGGGAGUGUAGGCGGGACUGUAAGUCAGAUGUGAAAUAUGCCGGCUCAACUGGCAGACUGCAUUUGAAACUGUGGUUCUUGAGUGAAGUAGAGGUAAGCGGAAUUCCUGGUGUAGCGGUGAAAUGCGUAGAUAUCAGGAGGAACAUCAGUGCGAAGGCGGCUUACUGG
RNAcentral lists this ribosomal RNA (361 nucleotides) under uncultured Lachnospiraceae bacterium. Its description in RNAcentral is "bacterial SSU rRNA". It matches the Rfam family "Bacterial small subunit ribosomal RNA", at positions 355 to 732 of the family's 1533-position model. The record is from RNAcentral. Lineage: Bacteria; Bacillati; Bacillota; Clostridia; Lachnospirales; Lachnospiraceae.